RNA transcript from Varanus komodoensis (Komodo dragon), 1660 nucleotides. It is a transcript of the gene named heat shock protein family B (small) member 3, with no coding region annotated. The record is from RefSeq and is a predicted model, not a curated record. The transcript is spliced from 3 exons. NCBI's taxonomy places the organism in Eukaryota, Metazoa, Chordata, Lepidosauria, Squamata, Varanidae.
UUUAAGUGGGUGUAUAACUGGAAAGGGUGCAUUGUCCCAGUCAGAGCUCUGUUCUUUUGCCACUGAAAAAAAUAAACGAGCAAGUUUUGAACAUUAUUUCAGCAAUGGAAGGAGUAGUGAUACGACACUGGGUGGAAACACCAGUACGUUAUCAGGAAUAUUUUGCAAAUCUAGAUUUGGAAGCAUGCAAAUUAAAUCACUCUCUCUACGCCUUACCAGGCCCAGCCAAGGCUGCAGCAGCAAGGAACAUGCAUACAGCCAAGAGUACAGCUGAAACAGAGCAGAACAGCACAGAGGAAGAAAAGCCUACAUUUCAAGUCUUAUUAGAUGUUGUGCAGUUCCGUCCUGAAGAUGUUAUCAUUCAAACCUUUGAAGGCUGGCUCCUGAUCAAAGCUCAGCAUGGACCCAGGAUGGAUGAACAUGGCUUUAUAACCAGAAGAUUUACUAGACAAUACAAAUUGCCAGAUGGAAUCGAAACAAAAGAUCUGACUGCUCUCUUCUGCCAUGAUGGCAUUUUGGUUAUUGAAACUAAGACCCUUGGCAGGAAAUGAAUUAUAGACCUGGUGAGACAAUAUUGUUCCUACCGUAACUUGAACAAUCUUUACUGUGGUGCUGUGCAUGUAGAAUUGUGGCUCCAGUGAAGAUAAAGUUAUAGGACCUGGUCCAGGAAUGUCGAUGCUAAAGAAUGCCUUCCGCCCCCUCCCGCCAGCUAUAGUCUCUGUCAGAGAACCUACUGGAGGGACUGAAAGAGCAGAGAACUACCUAAACUGAAUUCCAGAGCCUGUAUCCACUCCUCUAUGAGGUGUAUCAUUUCAUCAGGGACAUUAAGUUGAGGAAAGUGAUUUGAAUACUUCAUUGCUAAAACCAAAUCCAAUCAACCUUUUAUGGUAUCAUCUUGAUAUCAUUCCCUCUACUACAGAAAUUCAGAGAUGAUUGCCAAUGCUUAUAUAGCCAAAAGGACACCAUCCAUUUACAAGACAGAAGUUUGAACAGGCUUGGAAACCGCCAAAAUUUUCAGAAGUACAAAAUCACUUUAAGAAGAAAAGCUAUCCUAAAGAAUACUCCAAAACUGUCUAUUUAGUACUGAACAACGUGACCUGCUGCUGUGGGAGUGGAGGAACGGAGGAAGGAUGAAAAACCAGGCAGGAAGAGAAUGGAACAAAACGCUCCAUGCUACAACAUUUUGUUGCAGGUUCUACUUGUACUGUCCUGUUUUUCAUUGCUGUGACACUUGUCUUCCUCCACAGAUUCUACCUACUUUUUUCUUAUCCUGACUUGUGAGGCAAUCAGCAUGGUCUUUCUGCAUCUACUGAAAGUGGACAGGGGUGGAGGAGCAGAUCUCAUCUGGAGUUAGAUAACUGUGUCCAGCUUCAAAGUGUUUUUCCAAGCAAUCCUAUGGUCUCUCCCUGGGACAUACUUUCCUAGGACUGAUCUCUAAAUUACAAAUCCAUCACAAAGACUAGUUAUACUGUUCAAAUUACUGAAAUUCCAGCCUGGAUAUGUUUCCCUUCCAUUUAACUUUCCUUUUGCAAUUUGAAGCGGGCUAUCAGUAGAGAUCAGAAGAAAUGGAGUAGUCUUCAUAGCCAAUAAAGAGUAGGAAAAGCAGUACUGGGAUUCAACAUCACAAUAGUCCAAGUCUAGGCCCCAACCACUGGUGCUG